UUUUAUGGAGAGUUUGAUCCUGGCUCAGAGUGAACGCUGGCGGCGUGCCUAAUACAUGCAAGUCGAACGAUGAAGCUUCUAGCUUGCUAGAAGUGGAUUAGUGGCGCACGGGUGAGUAAGGUAUAGUUAAUCUGCCCUACACAAGAGGACAACAGUUGGAAACG
This 164-nucleotide ribosomal RNA is filed under the name Campylobacter coli. RNAcentral's name for it is "partial 16S ribosomal RNA". It matches the Rfam family "Bacterial small subunit ribosomal RNA", at positions 1 to 158 of the family's 1533-position model. The record is from RNAcentral. Lineage: Bacteria; Pseudomonadati; Campylobacterota; Epsilonproteobacteria; Campylobacterales; Campylobacteraceae.